RNAcentral lists this ribosomal RNA (427 nucleotides) under Neonectria sp. nc_besc_184a. RNAcentral describes it as "eukaryotic LSU rRNA". The stretch from base 52 to 205 matches the Rfam family "5.8S ribosomal RNA". The record is from RNAcentral. Lineage: Eukaryota; Fungi; Ascomycota; Sordariomycetes; Hypocreales; Nectriaceae.
GACUCUUUUGAAUUUUUCAGUAUCUUCUGAGUAAAAAAAACAAUAAAUCAAAACUUUCAACAACGGAUCUCUUGGUUCUGGCAUCGAUGAAGAACGCAGCGAAAUGCGAUAAGUAAUGUGAAUUGCAGAAUUCAGUGAAUCAUCGAAUCUUUGAACGCACAUUGCGCCCGCCAGUAUUCUGGCGGGCAUGCCUGUUCGAGCGUCAUUUCAACCCUCAAGCUCUGCUUGGUGUUGGGGAUCGGCAAGGCGUCCUCCGGGUCGCGCCGUCCCCCAAAUAUAGUGGCGGUCUCGCUGUAGCUUCCUCUGCGUAGUAAUACACCUCGCUCUGGAGUCUCGGUGCGACCACGCCGUAAAACCCCCAACUUUUUUCUGGUUGACCUCGAAUCAGGUAGGACUACCCGCUGAACUUAAGCAUAUCAAUAAGGCG